CGCACCUCGACCACAGGACACUGCGACAGUUCUUACUAUUGGUUAUCUAUGUGGUCGACAUGACCUUCUGCGGUUGUCCAAACAUUUGUUUCUUCUAUUCCUUUCCAAGAAAUAGAGCCAUCAGACAUCAGGCAAUCUUGGAGAAGGAUAUAAAAUAAAAGACCAAUGAGUGAAAGUGGAUUCAAAAGAACUAAAAUAAAAUGGGUUUUUAAUCUGUGAUGUUUUAUCA
This 229-nucleotide long non-coding RNA is filed under the name Felis catus (domestic cat). RNAcentral's name for it is "lncRNA (ENSFCAG00000045713.2)". Lineage: Eukaryota; Metazoa; Chordata; Mammalia; Carnivora; Felidae. The record is from RNAcentral.